RNAcentral lists this ribosomal RNA (2357 nucleotides) under Proteus terrae subsp. cibarius. RNAcentral describes it as "partial 23S ribosomal RNA". It matches the Rfam family "Bacterial large subunit ribosomal RNA", at positions 589 to 2925 of the family's 2925-position model. Lineage: Bacteria; Pseudomonadati; Pseudomonadota; Gammaproteobacteria; Enterobacterales; Morganellaceae. The record is from RNAcentral.
UGGGGUGACUGCGUACCUUUUGUAUAAUGGGUCAGCGACUUAUAUUCUGUAGCAAGGUUAACCGUAUAGGGGAGCCGUAGGGAAACCGAGUCUUAACUGGGCGAAUGAGUUGCAGGGUAUAGACCCGAAACCCGGUGAUCUAUCCAUGGGCAGGUUGAAGGUUGGGUAACACUAACUGGAGGACCGAACCGACUAAUGUUGAAAAAUUAGCGGAUGACUUGUGGAUGGGGGUGAAAGGCCAAUCAAACCGGGAGAUAGCUGGUUCUCCCCGAAAGCUAUUUAGGUAGCGCCUCGUGAACUCAUCUUCGGGGGUAGAGCACUGUUUCGACUAGGGGGUCAUCCCGACUUACCAACUCGAUGCAAACUGCGAAUACCGAAGAAUGUUAUCACGGGAGACACACGGCGGGUGCUAACGUCCGUCGUGAAGAGGGAAACAACCCAGACCGCCAGCUAAGGUCCCAAAGUCAUGGUUAAGUGGGAAACGAAGUGGGAAGGCUCAGACAGCCAGGAUGUUGGCUUAGAAGCAGCCAUCAUUUAAAGAAAGCGUAAUAGCUCACUGGUCGAGUCGGCCCGCGCGGAAGAUGUAACGGGGCUAAACCAUGCACCGAAGCUGCGGCAGCAAUACUAAGUGUUGUUGGGUAGGGGAGCGUUCUGUAAGCCUGCGAAGGUGUACUGUGAGGUAUGCUGGAGGUAUCAGAAGUGCGAAUGCUGACAUAAGUAACGAUAAUGCGGGUGAAAAACCCGCACGCCGGAAGACCAAGGGUUCCUGUCCAACGUUAAUCGGGGCAGGGUGAGUCGACCCCUAAGGCGAGGCUGAAAAGCGUAGUCGAUGGGAAACGGGUUAAUAUUCCCGUACUGGUGGUAACUGCGAUGGGGGAACGGAGAAGGCUAGGUUGUCCGGGCGACGGUCGUCCCGGUUCAAGCAUGUAGGCAGAGUGAUUAGGCAAAUCCGGUCACUUAAUGCUGAGGUGUGAUGACGAACCACUAAGGUGGUGAAGCAAUUGAUGCCCUGCUUCCAGGAAAAGCCUCUAAGCUUCAGGUUACCAACAAUCGUACCCCAAACCGACACAGGUGGUCAGGUAGAGAAUACUCAGGCGCUUGAGAGAACUCGGGUGAAGGAACUAGGCAAAAUGGUGCCGUAACUUCGGGAGAAGGCACGCUGGCGGUAAGUGAAGUCCCUUGCGGACGGAGCCGAAGCCAGUCGAAGAUACCAGCUGGCUGCAACUGUUUAUUAAAAACACAGCACUGUGCAAACACGAAAGUGGACGUAUACGGUGUGACGCCUGCCCGGUGCUGGAAGGUUAAUUGAUGGGGUUAUCCUUAGGGAGAAGCUCUUGAUCGAAGCCCCAGUAAACGGCGGCCGUAACUAUAACGGUCCUAAGGUAGCGAAAUUCCUUGUCGGGUAAGUUCCGACCUGCACGAAUGGCGUAAUGAUGGCCAGGCUGUCUCCACCCGAGACUCAGUGAAAUUGAACUCGCUGUGAAGAUGCAGUGUACCCGCGGCAAGACGGAAAGACCCCGUGAACCUUUACUAUAGCUUGACACUGAACAUUGAGCCUUGAUGUGUAGGAUAGGUGGGAGACUAUGAAGUGUGGACGCCAGUCUGCAUGGAGUCAACCUUGAAAUACCACCCUUUAACGUUUGAUGUUCUAACCUAGGUCCAUAAUCUGGAUCGGGGACCGUGUCUGGUGGGUAGUUUGACUGGGGCGGUCUCCUCCUAAAGAGUAACGGAGGAGCACGAAGGUUGGCUAAGCAUGGUCGGACAUCAUGCGGUUAGUGCAAAGGCAUAAGCCAGCUUGACUGUGAGAGUGACGGCUCGAGCAGGUACGAAAGUAGGUCUUAGUGAUCCGGUGGUUCUGAAUGGAAGGGCCAUCGCUCAACGGAUAAAAGGUACUCCGGGGAUAACAGGCUGAUACCGCCCAAGAGUUCAUAUCGACGGCGGUGUUUGGCACCUCGAUGUCGGCUCAUCACAUCCUGGGGCUGAAGUAGGUCCCAAGGGUAUGGCUGUUCGCCAUUUAAAGUGGUACGCGAGCUGGGUUUAGAACGUCGUGAGACAGUUCGGUCCCUAUCUGCCGUGGGCGUUGGAAGAUUGAGAGGGGUUGCUCCUAGUACGAGAGGACCGGAGUGAACGCACCACUGGUGUUCGGGUUGUCAUGCCAAUGGCAUUGCCCGGUAGCUAAGUGCGGAAGAGAUAACCGCUGAAAGCAUCUAAGCGGGAAACUUGCCUCGAGAUGAGUCUUCCCUGUCACCUAGAGUGACCUAAAGGAACGUUUAAGACUAAGACGUUGAUAGGCUGGGUGUGUAAGCGUAGCGAUACGUUGAGCUAACCAGUACUAAUGAACCGUGAGGCUUAACCUG